RNAcentral lists this ribosomal RNA (434 nucleotides) under uncultured bacterium. RNAcentral's name for it is "partial 16S ribosomal RNA". It matches the Rfam family "Bacterial small subunit ribosomal RNA", at positions 29 to 507 of the family's 1533-position model. The record is from RNAcentral.
AGCGAACGCUGGCGGCAGGCCUAACACAUGCAAGUCGAACGAACCUUUCGGGGUUAGUGGCGGACGGGUGAGUAACACGUGGGAACGUGCCUUUAGGUUCGGUAUAACUCAGGGAAACUUGUGCUAAUACCGAAUGUGCCCUUCGGGGGAAAGAUUAAUCGCCUUUAGAGCGGCCCGCGUCUGAUUAGCUAGUUGGUUGAGGUAAUGGCGCACCAAGGCGACGAUCAGUAGCUGGUCUGAGAGGAUGAUCAGCCACAUUGGGACUGAGACACGGCCCAAACUCCUACGGGAGGCAGCAGUGGGGAAUCUUGCGCAAUGGGCGAAAGCCUGACGCAGCCAUGCCGCGUGAAUGAUGAAGGUCUUAGGAUUGUAAAAUUCUUUCACCGGGGACGAUAAUGACGGUACCCGGAGAAGAAGCCCCGGCUAACUUCGUG